RNAcentral lists this ribosomal RNA (1693 nucleotides) under Ptychopera sp. NVS-2013. Its description in RNAcentral is "eukaryotic LSU rRNA". It matches the Rfam family "Eukaryotic large subunit ribosomal RNA", at positions 24 to 1510 of the family's 3401-position model. Lineage: Eukaryota; Metazoa; Platyhelminthes; Rhabdocoela; Trigonostomidae. The record is from RNAcentral.
CCCGCUGAAUUUAAGCAUAUCAAUAAGCGGAGGAAAAGAAACUAACUAGGAUUCCCUUAGUAACGGCGAGCGAACAGGGAAGAGCUCAUAACCGAAUCCCGUGGCGUGAUGUCAUUGGGAAAUGUGGUGUAUGGUAGGCCUUAUGCAUUGCCAGUUUCGUUUCAAGUCCACGUGAUUGUGGCUUCUAGCCCAAGGAGGGUGUAAGGCCCGUAGAAGUGGAACUGGUUUUGCUUUUCGUCUGCCUAGAGUCGGGUUGUUUGGGAUUGCAGCCCAAAGUGGUGGUAAACUCCAUCAAAAGCUAAAUACAACACGAGUCCGAUAGCGAACAAGUACCAUGAGGUAAAGUUGAAAAGAACUUUGAAGAGAGAGUUCAACAGUACGUGAAACCGCUCAGAGGUAAGCGGGUAGAGCUGAAAUUUAUUUGGAGAUUGAGGCUUGCUGUCGUGGGCACUGUUGCUGUAUGACUUUACGGCAUCUGCAAUGGUGUGCUGUAGCUACGGUUGGCUGUAUAUCCCAAGUAUUAAUCACGAUCGGCGUUUCAUUCGGGUCUGUCAUUGGUCAGAGGUAUCCCGGCGACUCUCGCGGUUACUGGGCUUUUAUAAUGAUCAGUACGGAGCUCGUUUUUCGUCGAGCAUGGCGGUGCAAGUCAUCUGACACUCAAGUUGUGACAUAGUAGUGACUGAGCGGGCGACUCUUCGGAGUUUUUCGCGACUGUUAUUGCUACUGCUGCAGCCUCUGAGUCUUGUGCCAAUAAUCGUGAUUUUCUUGUAAGCUGUCUACCCGGCCCGUCUUGAAACACGGACCAAGGAGUCUAACAUGUGCGCGAGUCAUUGGGUUCUACGAAACCUAAAGGCGUAUUGAAAGAGAAGGUUCCCUUCGUUGGAACUGAGGUAUGAUCCGUGCUCCCACGGGGGUGUGGCGCAAUACCGGCUUGUCUCAUGCUUUUUAAGCGAGGCAACGCAAGAGCGUACAUGAUGGUACCCGAAAGAUGGUGAACUAUGCUUGCAUAGGUUGAAGCCAGAGGAAACUCUGGUGGAAGACCGAAGCAAUUCUGACGUGCAAAUCGAUUGCCAAAUGUGAGUAUAGGGGCGAAAGACUAAUCGAACCAUCUAGUAGCUGGUUCCCUCCGAAGUUUCCCUCAGGAUAGCUGGCAUUUAUUGAACAAACAGUUUUAUUCGGUAAAGCGAAUGAUUAGAAGUAUUGGGGAUGAAAUGUCCUCAACUUAUUCUCAAACUUUAAAUGGGUAAGACGUCUCACUCUCUUAAAUUAUGGAGUGGUGACAUCGAAUGUGAAUGCCUAGUGGGCCAUUUUUGGUAAGCAGAACUGGCGAUGUGGAAUGAACCAAAAGCGGUGGCUAAGGUGCCUAACUUAGCGCUCAUGACAUACCACAAAAGGUGUUGGUUGAUAUAGACAGCAGGACGGUGGCCAUGGAAGUUGGAAUCCGCUAAGGAGUGUGUAACAACUCACCUGCCGAAUCAACCAGCCCUGAAAAUGGAUGGCGGUGGAGCGUUAGACCUAUGCCGCGCCGUUACUGCAAGCUUCGAGCUUGGACGCGGUAACGUGUAGGAGGGCAACGUGGUAAGCGUUGAAGCUUCGAGUGUAAACUCGGGUGGAGCUGCCAUGUGAGCAGAUCUUGGUGGUAGUAGCAAGUAUUCAAGUGAGAUUCUUGAAGACUGAAGUGGAGAAGGGUUCC